Molecule: non-coding RNA, 73 nt
Organism: Phrynosoma platyrhinos (Desert horned lizard)
Lineage: Eukaryota; Metazoa; Chordata; Lepidosauria; Squamata; Phrynosomatidae
Source: the annotation of a GenBank genome assembly
GUAAUUGUGGCAUAGUGGUUUGAGUGUUGGACUGCGACUCUGGAAGCCAGGGUUCGAAACCCUGUGAAAUGCA